Molecule: ribosomal RNA, 820 nt
Filed under: Streptomyces sp.
Lineage: Bacteria; Bacillati; Actinomycetota; Actinomycetes; Kitasatosporales; Streptomycetaceae
Description: bacterial SSU rRNA
Rfam family: Bacterial small subunit ribosomal RNA
Source: RNAcentral
UGGAUUAGUGGCGAACGGGUGAGUAACACGUGGGCAAUCUGCCCUUCACUCUGGGACAAGCCCUGGAAACGGGGUCUAAUACCGGAUAACACUCUGUUCCGCAUGGGACGGGGUUGAAAGCUCCGGCGGUGAAGGAUGAGCCCGCGGCCUAUCAGCUUGUUGGUGGGGUAAUGGCCUACCAAGGCGACGACGGGUAGCCGGCCUGAGAGGGCGACCGGCCACACUGGGACUGAGACACGGCCCAGACUCCUACGGGAGGCAGCAGUGGGGAAUAUUGCACAAUGGGCGAAAGCCUGAUGCAGCGACGCCGCGUGAGGGAUGACGGCCUUCGGGUUGUAAACCUCUUUCAGCAGGGAAGAAGCGCAAGUGACGGUACCUGCAGAAGAAGCGCCGGCUAACUACGUGCCAGCAGCCGCGGUAAUACGUAGGGCGCAAGCGUUGUCCGGAAUUAUUGGGCGUAAAGAGCUCGUAGGCGGCUUGUCACGUCGGAUGUGAAAGCCCGGGGCUUAACCCCGGGUCUGCAUUCGAUACGGGCUAGCUAGAGUGUGGUAGGGGAGAUCGGAAUUCCUGGUGUAGCGGUGAAAUGCGCAGAUAUCAGGAGGAACACCGGUGGCGAAGGCGGAUCUCUGGGCCAUUACUGACGCUGAGGAGCGAAAGCGUGGGGAGCGAACAGGAUUAGAUACCCUGGUAGUCCACGCCGUAAACGUUGGGAACUAGGUGUUGGCGACAUUCCACGUCGUCGGUGCCGCAGCUAACGCAUUAAGUUCCCCGCCUGGGGAGUACGGCCGCAAGGCUAAAACUCAAAGGAAUUGACGGGGGC